AAGGUAUGUAUAGGUUGAGAGAAGUGAUGGUUGAAAGGGUUGGUGGAUUGGUUUGGAUAGAGAAAAUAUAGUAUCAAGAUUAAACAAACAGUGCUAUGCAGUUGAAAUUCUGCAAUGUAUCUUUCGUUGUAGAGAUGAAAACUUUGUGACGAAAAGUUUAUGCAGUAAUAUAGGAACAAUUUUUUUUUUUUUUGGAUUUUGGGAUAGGGACAACUAAAUUACAGUAGCAGUAAGGUAGGAAAC
This 243-nucleotide long non-coding RNA is filed under the name Musa acuminata (dwarf banana). RNAcentral's name for it is "long non-coding RNA (MACU_LNC001349)". Lineage: Eukaryota; Viridiplantae; Streptophyta; Magnoliopsida; Zingiberales; Musaceae. The record is from RNAcentral.